GUCUACAGCCUUACCACCCUGAAUGCGCCCGAUCUCAUCUGAUCUCGGAAGCUAAGCAGGGUCGGGCCUGGUUAGUACUUGGAUGGGAGAAAAGCAGGAAAACACAAGUAAACAAGUAGAAG
Non-coding RNA from Rattus norvegicus (Norway rat), 122 nucleotides. Lineage: Eukaryota; Metazoa; Chordata; Mammalia; Rodentia; Muridae. The record is from Rfam.